UGUCCUAUAGCUCAACUGGCAGAGCAAGCGGUUGUUACCCGCGAGGUUGCAGGUUCGAUUCCUGCUAGGACAG
RNAcentral lists this transfer RNA (73 nucleotides) under Cyanobacteria bacterium SBLK. Its description in RNAcentral is "tRNA-Asn". It matches the Rfam family "tRNA". From Rfam's summary of the family: Transfer RNA (tRNA) molecules are approximately 80 nucleotides in length. Their secondary structure includes four short double-helical elements and three loops (D, anti-codon, and T loops). RNAcentral also lists the same sequence under 1 other name. The record is from RNAcentral. Lineage: Bacteria; Bacillati; Cyanobacteriota.